Molecule: long non-coding RNA, 1991 nt
Organism: Siniperca chuatsi (mandarin fish)
Lineage: Eukaryota; Metazoa; Chordata; Actinopteri; Centrarchiformes; Sinipercidae
Exons: 3
Source: RefSeq, a predicted model, not a curated record
AAAGCACGACUUGAAAACAGAGUUAAAGUGGUUAGUCUUUAUUUGUUGCACAAACAAGUUAAAAGAGUAACCAGGCGUGUGGAGGGAAGCUCCGUGAAGCAAGGAUGAUUCCCAGGCUGAGGCAGACAGUCCGUGAGCACAGGCAGAUUGGGCGGGGACUGCUGGCUGGAAUGUAUCUGGUGAGAUCAGGCAGGCACCGCGAGGACAGCUGACUGAAGAGAAGCGGUGAACUUGCGGUGAGAAGCUUCUGAAGGUGAGUAGCUCGGAGGCAGGUGCUGGUUAGAGGCGUGAACCACUAGUAUAAAUAGACAAUCUGGCAAAGACUGGUGAGAAGAGCCGGGUAGAUAUACUGCAUGGUCUCGAUUGGUGGAUGGAGAACAAGUGAGUAGCAGCAGAUGAGUAGCAGGUGUGUCAGAUUCUGAGUGGAGGUUCACCGGAUGCCACGCUCCACCAGCACAGACAUACACAGACAAGCACAGGAGGGGAACCAACAGGGGACAAACAGACAACAGUGUCACUAGGAGUGGUACAGCUGUAUCAUGACAGAAAAUGGAAGGCCCCAGUCGGUUUGGCACGGUCCCUGCUGCAAGGUUCCCUUCUCUCCAUCUAUCACCAUCAUUGGCUCAGAUUUUCUGCAUCGUUGAAGUGCUCCUCCGGAAGACCCGCCGGAUUUCCACACAGGGAUACACAGUCAUGCACGGACCUCCGUGGGAAGCUGUGGGUGUUAUCCAACCCGGACUGCUAAUGACGACCUUCGCUCAUGUUUGGUCGGCCAUGUUGUUUGCAGGAACGUUGCUGCAAAAGUUGAAAUUCUCUCAUCUGAGCCUGAGUGGCUGUGAUCAGCGCCGCCGCUCCCACCACGCGCAUCACGCACUGUGCGUAGGGCACCAAGUGCUGAGGGGGCACCAAAAAUAGCCUAAUGAAAUUUUUUUUUAAAAUAGGGGGAACAAGAAAGAUAUUUGAUAAUUGCUCUAGUCUAGUCCCCCCCCCCGUGCCGGAUGGUCCGUUCCGGUUGUUCGCGCGGGCGAAUAAUAAAGGAAUUAUGCUUAGGGCACCAAAAUGGCUAGCAGCGGCACUGGCUGUGAUGCACUUGGGAAUUUUAUGGUAGCUGUGAUGUAAAUCAGCAAUGUUGCAGCAGUUAAGUAACAAAUUCGCAAGCAAGGUUUAAAUCUGUUUUAAAUGUUUCCAGUGUAAACGCUGUUGCAGAGCAGAGGCAACAUACUUUUAUCUCAACGUUGAAUGGAAUUUGCAGAUUGUUUCUCGCCAAUGAGUCCAGGCCAACUUUACAGUUCAAUAAGGAGAGACUCAUUGAAAGAAGAAGUUUAAAGAGUUAUAAAAUUUGUUUUAGCUGGUUGUCCACUAAUAAAAGGGUCAGUGGUUCAAUCCCCGGCUCCUUCUGUCCACAUGUUGAAGUGUCCUUGAGCAAGACACUGAACCCUAGUUGCUCCCAAUGGUCAGGCCGGCGCCUUGCAUGGCUACUUGCCACUAUGAGAGGCAAAUUGCGAAGUGCUUUGGAUAAAACUUCUAUGUAAAUGUGGUGCAUUUACAAUAGUAACAGUGUGUACAGCAGGAAAGUCGUCAAUCAGCUGUCUGAGUUGGAAGCUGGAAAAGAAAAAACUCUUCGCGUAGUUACGGUCUGAACAAUAUAACAUGAACACAGCAAAAGCAUAUGAUUCACUUCAGUUCAGUGAUGCCUUCAGUUAGCUCCUGUGCCCUUUAGGGAAGCAUUUAUUAUGUUUCACAACUCAUUUAUUCAGGUUUUUCAUGUUUGUCACAACUCUGUAGUUGUUUUUUUUACACAUAAAUGUAAACGCUGCCUGAGUUACAUGAAAUAUUACAAUAAAAACAAAAACCCCAUUAUAUGAGGUUGUCAAGGUUUUCUCAGGUUUAAGUCGAAUCUGUUGUGCUUUUCUGUUAGAAUGAAAUCAAGCCAAUCAAUCAAAAAAAAAUGCAAUAUGUGAAAGUUAAAUCCAAGAUUAACUGCUGUGUCA